UACGGGGGGCAGCAGUAGGGAAUCUUCCACAAUGGACGGAAGUCUGAUGGAGCAACGCCGCGUGAGCGAAGAAGGUCUUCGGAUCGUAAAGCUCUGUUGUAAGGGAAGAAUAAGUACAGUAGUAACUGGCUGUACCUUGACGGUACCUUACGAGAAAGCCACGGCUAACUACGUGCCAGCAGCCACGGUAAUACGUAGGUGGCAAGCGUUGUCCGGAAUUAUUGGGCGUAAAGCGCGCGCAGGCGGCCUUUUAAGUCUGAUGUGAAAGCCCCCGGCUUAACCGGGGAGGGUCAUUGGAAACUGGGAGGCUUGAGUGCAGAAGAGGAAAGUGGAAUUCCAAGUGUAGCGGUGAAAUGCGUAGAGAUUUGGAGGAACACCAGUGGCGAAGGCGACUUUCUGGUCUGUUACUGACGCUGAGGCGCGAAAGCGUGGGGAGCAAACAGGAUUAGAUACCCUGGUAGUCCACGCCGUAAACGAUGAGUGCUAAGUGUUAGGGGGUUUCCGCCCCUUAGUGCUGCAGUUAACGCAUUAAGCACUCCGCCUGGGGAGUACGGUCGCAAGACUGAAACUCAAAGGAAUUGACGGGGGCCCGCACAAGCGGUGGAGCAUGUGGUUUAACUCGAAGCAACGCGAAGAACCUUACCAGGUCUUGACAUCCCGCUGACCGCCAUGGAGACAUGGCCUUCCCUUCGGGGACAGCGGUGACAGGUGGUGCAUGGUUGUCGUCAGCUCGUGUCGUGAGAUGUUGGGUUAAGUCCCGCAACGAGCGCAACCCUUGUCCUUAGUUGCCAUCAUUCAGUUGGGCACUCUAAGGAGACUGCUGUAAUAAAA
Molecule: ribosomal RNA, 831 nt
Filed under: uncultured bacterium
Lineage: Bacteria
Description: bacterial SSU rRNA
Rfam family: Bacterial small subunit ribosomal RNA
Source: RNAcentral